This 338-nucleotide unclassified non-coding RNA is filed under the name soil metagenome. RNAcentral describes it as "partial contains 5.8S ribosomal RNA, internal transcribed spacer 2, and large subunit ribosomal RNA". The stretch from base 1 to 120 matches the Rfam family "5.8S ribosomal RNA", at positions 35 to 154 of the family's 154-position model. The record is from RNAcentral.
GAUGAAGAACGCAGCGAAAUGCGAUAAAUAAUGUGAAUUGCAGAAUUCAGUGAAUCAUCGAAUCUUUGAACGCACAUUGCGCCCGGUAGUAUUCUGCCGGGCAUGCCUGUUCGAGCGUCAUUUCAACCAUCAAGCCCCAGCGCUUGUGUUGGGGGCCUGCGGCUGCCGCAGCCCCCUAAAAGCAGUGGCGGGCUCGCUAUCACACCGAGUGCAGUAGUUCAUCUUCUCUCCGGUCUUGUGAGGCGGGUUCCGGCCGUGAAACACCCCACUACAUUCAAGGUUGACCUCGGAUCAGGUAGGAAUACCCGCUGAACUUAAGCAUAUCAAUAAGCGGAGGA